This 253-nucleotide ribosomal RNA is filed under the name uncultured bacterium. Its description in RNAcentral is "partial 16S ribosomal RNA". It matches the Rfam family "Bacterial small subunit ribosomal RNA", at positions 524 to 776 of the family's 1533-position model. The record is from RNAcentral.
UACGGAAGGGGCGAGCGUUGUUCGGAAUCAUUGGGCGUAAAGGGCGCGUAGGUGGUCUUGUGUGUCUACCGUGAAAGCACACGGCUCAACCGUGUUUGGUCGGUAGAAACUGCAGGACUUGAGGCUGGGAGGGGCUGGUGGAAUUCCCCGUGUAGCGGUGAAAUGCGUAGAGAUGGGGGAGAACACUCGUGGCGAAGGCGGCCAGCUAGACCAGUUCUGACACUGAGGCGCGAUAGCGUGGGGAGCAAACAGG